GAAAAGAACUUUGAAAAGAGAGUUAAACAGUACGUGAAAUUGUUGAAAGGGAAACGAUUGAAGCCAGUCGUACCGACGGAAAAUCAACUUUUCGGGUGCCUAUCGUGGGUGACGUUGAGCUUCACGGUCUUCGUUGCUUGUGUUGUUGGUAUCUUUGGAGUGUACUUUUUCGUAUGGUAGGUCAACAUCGAUUUUGAUCGUCAUAAAAUGAUCGGAGGAAUGUAGCUUCGAUUUCGAUCGGAGUGUUAUAGCCUUUGAUAGAUGUGUCGAUUGGGAUCGAGGAUUGCAACGAAUACCCUU
This 300-nucleotide unclassified non-coding RNA is filed under the name uncultured Basidiomycota. Its description in RNAcentral is "sequence contains 5.8S rRNA gene, ITS2". It matches the Rfam family "Eukaryotic large subunit ribosomal RNA", at positions 366 to 614 of the family's 3401-position model. Lineage: Eukaryota; Fungi; Basidiomycota. The record is from RNAcentral.